UGGGGAAUUUUGGACAAUGGGCGAAAGCCUGAUCCAGCAAUGCCGCGUGUGUGAAGAAGGCCUUCGGGUUGUAAAGCACUUUUGUCCGGAAAGAAAUCCUUGGCUCUAAUACAGUCGGGGGAUGACGGUACCGGAAGAAUAAGCACCGGCUAACUACGUGCCAGCAGCCGCGGUAAUACGUAGGGUGCAAGCGUUAAUCGGAAUUACUGGGCGUAAAGCGUGCGCAGGCGGUUUGCUAAGACCGAUGUGAAAUCCCCGGGCUCAACCUGGGAACUGCAUUGGUGACUGGCAGGCUAGAGUAUGGCAGAGGGGGGUAGAAUUCCACGUGUAGCAGUGAAAUGCGUAGAGAUGUGGAGGAAUACCGAUGGCGAAGGCAGCCCCCUGGGCCAAUACUGACGCUCAUGCACGAAAGCGUGGGGAGCAAACAGGAUUCAGAUACCCUGGUAGUCCACGCCCUAAACGAUGUCAACUAGUUGUUGGGGAUUCAUUUCCUUAGUAACGUAGCUAACGCGUGAAGUUGACCGCCUGGGGAGUACGGUCGCAAGAUUAAAACUCAAAUGAAUUGACGGGGUCAUAGCUGUUUCC
RNAcentral lists this ribosomal RNA (585 nucleotides) under uncultured bacterium. RNAcentral describes it as "partial 16S ribosomal RNA". It matches the Rfam family "Bacterial small subunit ribosomal RNA", at positions 355 to 937 of the family's 1533-position model. The record is from RNAcentral.